AUGCAUUAAGUGCCCCGCCUGGGGAGUACGGCCGCAAGGCUAAAACUCAAAGGAAUUGACGGGGGCCCGCACAAGCGGCGGAGCAUGCGGAUUAAUUCGAUGCAACGCGAAGAACCUUACCAAGGCUUGACAUGAACUGGAACAGCGCAGAGAUGUGUUGGCCGCUUGCGGCCGGUUUACAGGUGGUGCAUGGUUGUCGUCAGCUCGUGUCGUGAGAUGUUGGGUUAAGUCCCGCAACGAGCGCAACCCUCGUUCUAUGUUGCCAGCGCGUUAUGGCGGGGACUCAUAGGAGACUGCCGGGGUCAACUCGGAGGAAGGUGGGGACGACGUCAAAUCAUCAUGCCCCUUAUGUCUUGGGUCGACGCGGCCG
Molecule: ribosomal RNA, 370 nt
Filed under: uncultured Arthrobacter sp.
Lineage: Bacteria; Bacillati; Actinomycetota; Actinomycetes; Micrococcales; Micrococcaceae
Description: bacterial SSU rRNA
Rfam family: Bacterial small subunit ribosomal RNA
Source: RNAcentral